This 527-nucleotide ribosomal RNA is filed under the name uncultured bacterium. RNAcentral describes it as "partial 16S ribosomal RNA". It matches the Rfam family "Bacterial small subunit ribosomal RNA", at positions 355 to 874 of the family's 1533-position model. The record is from RNAcentral.
UGGGGAAUUUUGGACAAUGGGCGAAAGCCUGAUCCAGCAAUGCCGCGUGUGUGAAGAAGGCCUUCGGGUUGUAAAGCACUUUUGUCCGGAAAGAAAUCCUUGGCUCUAAUACAGUCGGGGGAUGACGGUACCGGAAGAAUAAGCACCGGCUAACUACGUGCCAGCAGCCGCGGUAAUACGUAGGGUGCAAGCGUUAAUCGGAAUUACUGGGCGUAAAGCGUGCGCAGGGCGGUUUGCUAAGACCGAUGUGAAAUCCCCGGGCUCAACCUGGGAACUGCAUUGGUGACUGGCAGGCUAGAGUAUGGCAGAGGGGGGUAGAAUUCCACGUGUAGCAGUGAAAUGCGUAGAGAUGUGGAGGAAUACCGAUGGCGAAGGCAGCCCCCUGGGCCAAUACUGACGCUCAUGCACGAAAGCGUGGGGAGCAAACAGGAUUAGAUACCCUGGUAGUCCACGCCCUAAACGAUGUCAACUAGUUGUUGGGGAUUCAUUUCCUUAGUAACGUAGCUAACGCGUGAAGUUGACCGCCU